AGAGUUUGAUCCUGGCUCAGGACGAACGCUGGCGGCGUGCUUAAUACAUGCAAGUCGAGCGGUAAGGCCCUUUCGGGGGUACACGAGCGGCGAACGGGUGAGUAACACGUGGGUGACCUGCCCUUAGCUCUGGGAUAAGCCUGGGAAACUGGGUCUAAUACCGGAUAUGACCUCAUGGUGCAUGGUGUGGGGUGGAAAGUGUUUGCGGCUAGGGAUGGGCCCGCGGCCUAUCAGCUUGUUGGUGGGGUGAUGGCCUACCAAGGCGACGACGGGUAGCCGGCCUGAGAGGGUGAUCGGCCACACUGGGACUGAGACACGGCCCAGACUCCUACGGGAGGCAGCAGUAGGGAAUUUUGCGCAAUGGGCGGAAGCCUGACGCAGCGACGCCGCGUGAGGGAUGACGGCCUUCGGGUUGUAAACCUCUUUCAGCCCUGACGAAGCGAGAGUGACGGUAGGGGUAGAAGAAGCACCGGCCAACUACGUGCCAGCAGCCGCGGUAAUACGUAGGGUGCGAGCGUUGUCCGGAUUUAUUGGGCGUAAAGAGCUCGUAGGCGGCCUGUCGCGUCGACGUGUGAAAACUCGGGGCUCAACCCUGAGCUUGCGGUUGAUACGGGCAGGCUAGAGUUCGGUAGGGGAGACUGGAAUUCCUGGUGUAGCGGUGAAAUGCGCGAUAUCAGGAGGAACACCGGUGGCGAAGGCGGGUCUCUGGGCCGAUACUGACGCUGAGGAGCGAAAGCGUGGGGAGCGAACAGGAUUAGAUACCCUGGUAGUCC
RNAcentral lists this ribosomal RNA (773 nucleotides) under uncultured bacterium. RNAcentral's name for it is "bacterial SSU rRNA". It matches the Rfam family "Bacterial small subunit ribosomal RNA", at positions 8 to 796 of the family's 1533-position model. The record is from RNAcentral.